This 431-nucleotide ribosomal RNA is filed under the name uncultured bacterium. RNAcentral describes it as "partial 16S ribosomal RNA". It matches the Rfam family "Bacterial small subunit ribosomal RNA", at positions 29 to 507 of the family's 1533-position model. The record is from RNAcentral.
AACGAACGCUGGCGGCAGGCCCAACACAUGCAAGUCGAGCGCGCCUUCGGGUGAGCGGCGGACGGGUGAGUAACGCGUGGGAAUAUGCCCUUCUCUACGGAAUAGUCCUGGGAAACUGGGGGUAAUACCGUAUACGCCCUUUGGGGGAAAGAUUUAUCGGGGAAGGAUUAGCCCGCGUUGGAUUAGGUAGUUGGUGGGGUAAUGGCCUACCAAGCCGACGAUCCAUAGCUGGUUUGAGAGGAUGAUCAGCCACACUGGGACUGAGACACGGCCCAGACUCCUACGGGAGGCAGCAGUGGGGAAUCUUAGACAAUGGGGGCAACCCUGAUCUAGCCAUGCCGCGUGAGUGAUGAAGGCCUUAGGGUUGUAAAGCUCUUUCAGCUGGGAAGAUAAUGACGGUACCAGCAGAAGAAGCCCCGGCUAACUCCGUG